GAUCAAGAAGUACGAAACUCGAGGUUAGACAAAGGGAAGAAUAAAGUUGAAGACUAAGUUGGUGAAUUUGGCUAUAAUUGGUACCGAGUAUUGCAAAGCUACUUCAAGGAUCCUAAAGAAGUCGGAGAUCGUCCACACUAUCAACCACAACUGCUCGGUAUUUUAUGUCAAAACACGUUUGAGUUAUGGCAUGUAUAGGGAUUUAGUUAUUUUGUAUGUUUGUAAUGAUGAUUUUGCUAAUGAGUGAUGUGUAAGUAUUUGAUGAUGUAUGGUCAUUAAAAUGGUUAAGGAUGAAGGUGUUUGUUGUUAUGAAA
This is a long non-coding RNA of Gossypium raimondii (Peruvian cotton), 314 nucleotides long. RefSeq lists it as uncharacterized. The transcript is spliced from 2 exons. NCBI's taxonomy places the organism in Eukaryota, Viridiplantae, Streptophyta, Magnoliopsida, Malvales, Malvaceae. The record is from RefSeq and is a predicted model, not a curated record.